AGCUAUGAUGAUAAUAUACCAAUUCCUGACUUGGUAUUGACUAAGGUCAUUGACCAAGAAAUGAUACAAUUAAUCUUCUCUCUGAGCUG
Small nucleolar RNA from Mytilus californianus (California mussel), 89 nucleotides. RefSeq annotates it as Z30 small nucleolar RNA. The transcript has a single exon. The record is from RefSeq and is a predicted model, not a curated record. NCBI's taxonomy places the organism in Eukaryota, Metazoa, Mollusca, Bivalvia, Mytilida, Mytilidae.